UUUUUUUUUUUUUUUUUUUUUAAUAAAAAGCAUCUCAUGGAAUUGGGAGUGAUAUUUUUUAGCUAGAACAUGACAUCAGCAAGAUUGAAGUCCACAUAAUCGCAACCAACUGUAUGCAUAUGAUGCAGCUAAAGGCAGUGGUUUCAAAUCCUUCAGAAUUCCAGUAAUUACUUCAGUUUCUAAUUAAGAGCCGAAGAAACAGGAAGACCUCUAUGCC
This 217-nucleotide unclassified non-coding RNA is filed under the name Hevea brasiliensis (rubber tree). Lineage: Eukaryota; Viridiplantae; Streptophyta; Magnoliopsida; Malpighiales; Euphorbiaceae. The record is from RNAcentral.